GGCCAGUGAAUUGUAAUACGACUCACUAUAGGGCGAAUUGGGCCCUCUAGAUGCAUGCUCGAGCGGCCGCCAGUGUGAUGGAUAUCUGCAGAAUUCGCCCUUCAGGCCUAACACAUGCAAGUCGAACGCCCCGCAAGGGGAGUGGCAGACGGGUGAGUAACACGUGGGAACGUGCCCUAAGGUUUGGAAUAUUCCCGGGAAACUGGGAGCAAUACCAAAUGUGUCCGCAAGGAGAAAGAUUUAUCGCCUUAGGAUCGGCCCGCGUCAGAUUAGCUAGUUGGUGGGGUAAAAGCCUACCAAGGCGACGAUUCUGUAGCUGUUCUUAGAGGAAGACCAGCCACACUGGGACUGAGACACGGCCCAGACUCCUACGGGAGGCAGCAGUGGGGAAUCUUGGACAAUGGGCGCAAGCCUGAUCCAGCCAUGCCGCGUGGAUGAUGAAGGCCCUAGGGUUGUAAAAUCCUUUCAGCGGGGACGAUAAUGAC
This 485-nucleotide ribosomal RNA is filed under the name uncultured bacterium. RNAcentral describes it as "partial 16S ribosomal RNA". The stretch from base 72 to 485 matches the Rfam family "Bacterial small subunit ribosomal RNA", at positions 1 to 455 of the family's 1533-position model. The record is from RNAcentral.